CCGAGAAUAUUCGACAAUGGGCGCAAGCCUGAUCGAGCGAUACCGCGUGGUGGAUGAAGUGCUUCGGCACGUAAACACCUUUUAUGGAGGAGGAAGUUAUUGACGUUACUCCAUGAAUAAGGGGCUCCUAACUCUGUGCCAGCAGGAGCGGUAAUACAGAGGCCCCGAGCAUUACCCGGAAUUACUGGGCGUAAAGAGUGCGUAGGUGGUCGUGUUAGUCGUUUGUUAAAAACCGGGGCCUAACCCCGGACAUGCGGACGAAACGGCACGACUAGAGGGAGUGAGAGGUAUAUGGAACUCAUGGUGUAGGGGUGAAAUCCGUUGAUAUCAUGGGGAACACCGAAAGCGAAGGCAAUAUACUGGCACUUUCCUGACACUCAAGCACGAAAGCGUGGGUAGCGAACGGGAUUAGAUACCCCUGUAGUCC
This 427-nucleotide ribosomal RNA is filed under the name uncultured bacterium. RNAcentral's name for it is "bacterial SSU rRNA". It matches the Rfam family "Bacterial small subunit ribosomal RNA", at positions 355 to 796 of the family's 1533-position model. The record is from RNAcentral.